CCCUUGAUAGCUCAGUUGGAAGAGCGUGAGACUGUAAAGGCAGCAUUACGUAAUGCUUACGUAACCAUCUCAAGGUCACUAGUUCGAUCCUGGUUCAAGGGA
This 102-nucleotide transfer RNA is filed under the name Rhizoctonia solani. It matches the Rfam family "tRNA". Rfam says of the family: Transfer RNA (tRNA) molecules are approximately 80 nucleotides in length. Their secondary structure includes four short double-helical elements and three loops (D, anti-codon, and T loops). The record is from Rfam by way of RNAcentral. Lineage: Eukaryota; Fungi; Basidiomycota; Agaricomycetes; Cantharellales; Ceratobasidiaceae.